RNAcentral lists this ribosomal RNA (421 nucleotides) under uncultured bacterium. RNAcentral describes it as "partial 16S ribosomal RNA". It matches the Rfam family "Bacterial small subunit ribosomal RNA", at positions 360 to 773 of the family's 1533-position model. The record is from RNAcentral.
AAUAUUGGACAAUGGGCGAAAGCCUGAUCCAGCCAUGCCGCGUGUGUGAAGAAGGUCUUCGGAUUGUAAAGCACUUUAAGUUGGGAGGGAGGGUUGUAGAUUAAUACUCUGCAAUUUUGACGUUCUGAACAGAAUAAGCACCGGCUAACUUCGUGCCAGCGGCCGCGGUAAUACGAAGGGUGCAAGCGUUAACCGGAAUUACUGGGCGUAAAGCGCGCGUAGGUGGUUCAGUAAGAUGGGUGUGAAAUCCCCGGGCUUAACCUGGGAACUGCUUUCAUAACUGCUGAGCUAGAGUACGGUAGAGGGUAGUGGAAUUUCCUGUGUAGCGGUGAAAUGCGUAGAUAUAGGAAGGAACACCAGUGGCGAAGGCGACCACCUGGGCUAAUACUGACACUGAGGUGCGAAAGCGUGGGGAGCAAAC